This 634-nucleotide long non-coding RNA is filed under the name Polistes fuscatus (common paper wasp). Its description in RNAcentral is "uncharacterized LOC122521116". The record is from RNAcentral. Lineage: Eukaryota; Metazoa; Arthropoda; Insecta; Hymenoptera; Vespidae.
GCAAUUGUUGUUGUUUUAGAAUCCAAAUGACUGUAGAGCUACUUACAAAUGUGUCUCAUCUGAAUACAAUGUUGUAAAUCUAUAGAGCUCUGUCGUCUAAAGCAAAAAUUUUUGUUUAAAGCACCAACAUACAAACUCAAAUAUAAUUCAUAUAUUAAUUUACUUUAUAGCACAGGCAAUUAAUGUGGUUUUUGUUUGUUUUUGUGUAUAUUAAAUAUUGUACCUAAUCAUUUAAAAUAUAAAAAAAAGGCAGCGUUGUAAACUUAAGAUAUAGUUUCAUUCUCAUUGAAUUUUCUUCAUUAUUUAGGAGAUUGGUUUUUUGUUUCAGUAUCCGUUACUUCAAUUUCUGUACGCAUAUCAGUAACAAAUAUAUCAUAUGCGCUCUUUACUAUAUAAUGUAUAGGUACAUAUAAUCAUAUAACAUCUAAAGCCAAGCUCCUGUAAUAUACACAACACUUGAGGCACUUAAAUGUGUGCUCAAAGACCAUAUUUUUUUUUCUGACAUUUCUUAUAUUAUUUGCUUAUAAGCAUAAUUCUAAACGGUAUAUUAUCUCUCGUAACAGUGUCAUCAAAAAGGAAAAUCAGUGCCGUAAUCAGGAUGAUAUGAUUGCUAAUUGAGUUAAAGAAACAGAAA